CGUAAAGGGCUCGCAGGCGGUUUCUUUAAGUCUGAUGUGAAACCCCCCGGCUCACCGGGGAGGGGUCAUUGGAAACUUGGGAAACUUGAGUGCAGAAGAGGAGAGUGGAAAUUCCACGUGUAGCGGUGAAAUGCGUAGAGAUGUGGAGGAACACCAGUGGGGAAGGCGACUCUCUGGUCUGUAACUGACGCUGAGGAGCGAAAGCGUGGGGAGCGAACAGGAUUAGAUACCCUGGUAGUCCACGCCCGUAAACGAUGAGUGCUAAGUGUUAGGGGGUUUCCGCCCCUUAGUGCUGCAGCUAACGCAUUAAGCACUCCGCCUGGGGAGUACGGUCGCAAGACUGAAACUCAAAGGAAUUGACGGGGGCCCGCACAAGCGGUGGAGCAUGUGGUUUAAUUCGAAGCAACGCGAAGAACCUUACCAGGUCUUGACAUCCUCUGACAACCCUAGAGAUAGGGCUUUCCCUUCGGGGACAGAGUGACAGGUGGUGCAUGGUUGUCGUCAGCUCGUGUCGUGAGAUGUUGGGUUAAGUCCCGCAACGAGCGCAACCCGUGAUCUUAGUUGCCAGCAUUUAGUUGGGCACUCUAAGGUGACUGCCGGUGACAAACCGGAGGAAGGUGGGGAUGACGUCAAAUCAUCAUGCCCCUUAUGACCUGGGCUACACACGUGCUACAAUGGACAGAACAAAGGGCUGCAAGACCGCAAGGUUUAGCCAAUCCCAUAAAUCUGUUCUCAGUUCGGAUCGCAGUCUGCAACUCGACUGCGUGAAGCUGGAAUCGCUAGUAAUCGCGGAUCAGCAUGCCGCGGUGAAUACGUUCCCGGGCCUUGUACACACCGCCCGUAACACCACGAGAGUUUGCAACACCUGAAGUCGGUGAGGUAACCUUUUAUGUAGCCAGCCCCCCCGAAGGGGUGGGAAUGGUGUGCAAM
This 930-nucleotide ribosomal RNA is filed under the name Bacillus safensis. Its description in RNAcentral is "bacterial SSU rRNA". It matches the Rfam family "Bacterial small subunit ribosomal RNA", at positions 559 to 1486 of the family's 1533-position model. Lineage: Bacteria; Bacillati; Bacillota; Bacilli; Caryophanales; Bacillaceae. The record is from RNAcentral.